This 253-nucleotide ribosomal RNA is filed under the name uncultured bacterium. Its description in RNAcentral is "partial 16S ribosomal RNA". It matches the Rfam family "Bacterial small subunit ribosomal RNA", at positions 524 to 776 of the family's 1533-position model. The record is from RNAcentral.
UACGGAGGAGGCAAGCGUUAUCCGGAAUUAUUGGGCGUAAAGAGUCCGUAGGUUGCCAUUCAAGUCUGCUGUUAAAGCGUGGAGCUUAACUCCAUACCGGCAGUGGAAACUGAGUAGCUAGAGUUCGGUAGGGGUAGCGGGAAUUCCCAGUGUAGCGGUGAAAUGCGUAGAGAUUGGGAAGAACAUCGGUGGCGAAAGCGCGCUACUGGACCGAAACUGACGCUGAGGGACGAAAGCUAGGGGAGCGAAAGGG